Molecule: ribosomal RNA, 452 nt
Filed under: uncultured bacterium
Lineage: Bacteria
Description: bacterial SSU rRNA
Rfam family: Bacterial small subunit ribosomal RNA
Source: RNAcentral
UUCGCAAUGCCCGAAAGGGAACCUGAACACAGGUGCUGCAUGGCUGUCGUCAGCUCGUGUCGUGAGAUGUUGGGUUAAGUCCCGCAACGAGCGCAACCCUUGUCAUUAAUUGCCAUCAUUCAGUUGGGCACUUUAAUGAGACUGCCGGUGACAAACCGGAGGAAGGUGGGGAUGGCGUCAAGUCCUCAUGGCCCUUAUGGGUAGGGCUUCACACGUCAUACAAUGGUCGGUACAGAGGGUCGCCAACCCGCGAGGGGGAGCCAAUCCCACAAAGCCGAUCGUAGUCCGGAUCGCAAUCUGCAACUCGACUGCGUGAAGUCGGAAUCGCUAGUAAUCGUGGAUCAGCAUGUCACGGUGAAUACGUUCCCGGGUCUUGUACACACCGCCCGUCACACCAUGGGAGUGGGUUCCACCAGAAGUAGGUAGUCUAACCGCAAGGGGGGCGCUUACCA